CGCGUAGGCGGCCCUCCUUGUCGCGUGUGAAAGCCCCGGGCUCAACCUGGGAAUUGCGCGCGAAACGGGGGGGCUUGAGUUCGGGAGAGGAGCGUGGAAUUCCCAGUGUAGAGGUGAAAUUCGUAGAUAUUGGGAAGAACACCGGUGGCGAAGGCGGCGCUCUGGACCGAGACUGACGCUGAGGCGCGAAAGCGUGGGGAGCAAACAA
RNAcentral lists this ribosomal RNA (208 nucleotides) under uncultured bacterium. RNAcentral describes it as "partial 16S ribosomal RNA". It matches the Rfam family "Bacterial small subunit ribosomal RNA", at positions 568 to 775 of the family's 1533-position model. The record is from RNAcentral.